CGAGCGGCCCGAUUUAUUCCGGGCCGGGCGCACAGGCGGCAAGGACCCGCGCCGGCCACAGCAUGCAGGAACCCCGCGUGCUGGCCGCGCUCUGCGGCGCGCUGCUCUGCGCCUCCGGCCUCCUGGCCGCCUCGGACUGCAUCAGGGGCUGGGCAUGGAGGGGCUCCAUCGCUGACUCUGCAAAUCUCCGCCUCGUCCCUAUACUUGGGCUUCAUGGGUUUGCAGCGCACUGGGCUCAGAGCUGGCCCGGCUGCACGCGCGGGCACGGGCAUUGUCAAUGCCUGGACGGCCAGCAACUAUGACAGAAAGCCCUGGAUCCAGGUGAACCUCCUUCGGAAGAUGCGGGUGUCAGGCGGGUGACGCAGGGCGCCAGCCGCGCAGGCAGUGCCGAGUACGUUGAAGACCUUCAGAGUGGCCUACAGCCUCGAUGGACUUGUAAGUUCCACUUCAUCCAGGAUGGAGAGGGCUCUGGGGACAAGGUGUUCGAGGGUAACAUGAACAACAGCGGCCUGAAGCUCAACCUGUUCAGCACCCCCGCUGGAGGUCCAGUAUGUGAGGCUGUACCCCGUGGCCUGCCACAGGGGCUGCACCCUGCGCUUUGAGCUCGUGGGCUGUGAACUGAACGGAGGUUGGAGUGCAUGGAUGCUCCGAACCCCUGGGCCUGAAGGAUGGCACCAUCCCCGACAGGCAGAUCACAGCCUCCAGCAGCUAUAAGAUGUGGGGCCUUGAGGAGCCUUCAGCUGGUCGCCUCUUCUUGAGAGGCUGGACAAUCAGGGCAAGUUCAACGCCUGGACAGCACAGAGCAACUCUCCCAAUGCCUCUGAGUGGCUGCAGGUUGACCUGGGCUCCCAGAAGCAGGUGGAGGGGAUCAUCACCCAAGGCGCCGUGACUUUGGCCACAUCCAGUGCGUGGCUUCCUACAAGGUGGCCUACAGCAACAAUGGUGUCAACUGGGUUGAGUACAAGGAGCCAGGGGCUGUGGACAGCAAGAUCUUCCAAGGCAACUUGGACAACAACUCCCACAAGAAGAAUGUGUUUGAGACGCCCUUCUUGGCUCGCUAUGUGCGCGUGCUGCCUGUGUCCUGGCAAAACCGCAUCACCCUGCGCCUGGAGCUGCUGGGCUGCUAGCAUUUGCCCCGCGGGUCAGACCUGAGGGACCUAAGUGACCACAGGGCUGCCUCUCCACACCCUGCCUCCUGCCUGCUGCAGCCCCUUGUUCCCCUUCGGGCCUUAGAGGAGGCACCCAAGGCUGCCAUCGUCCCUCCCCUUUCCUUCCAGCUCUACAGGCCUCCCCUUCCCAGGGCCUUCGAGGGUCGGUCUGGGAUUCACUGGGAUGCACGCUGAGUCAGGUGUGUGGCUUUUCGGCACCUCCACGGAUCCCAGGCCCCCAGCUCUGGGUUGACUCUAGAGGGGCCUCUGGGCUUCCCAAGCCCCUUGCUGCAGCACCCCACAUUCCCGAGUCCCCAGAUGGAGGCCCGUGUCCCCAGACAGCAGAGUCCUCCCACCCCCAGGUGCCGGGCCAGCGAUUGCAGCCCGGGGCAGAUGCUGCCAGCCAGCUCUGCGCCUCCCCGACGCGUCUCCUUAUCUCGCCAGAGACCCCUCUUGACCCUGUCCCUAGGAAGAAGACGGAGGGGGUGCUGGGUCUGUGGAGAGACAGGAGACUGGAGCCAGCCUGGCGGUGAGCGGGAGGCUGGCUGGGUGGGCAGGGGUCUCUGUGCUGUCCCCUCACCCAGGCCACGGGCAGCUUCCCAAAUAUAUUUGUAUUCACCACUGGAAUCGGCUGUGCUUCCUCAUUGCUCGCCAUCGCUCUUCCCAGGGGCACUUACUGCAUUCUGGCCCCCACCUCCACCUGGAUUCUCCGGUUACCUGUCCAGCUGCAUAGAGAGCAGGAGGUGGGACACUGGGGGCGGUGCUGACCCACCUCUUCCCCUCCUUUUCCUUCUCCAUCUCCAUCCCUGUCUGGCUUGGCCAUAGCUGCUGCUUGGUGCGAGGCCAGGGAGUGCCUGGCACUGAGUCUGUCUCCUGGCUUGCCUCUGUCUCCUUCCCACGCCAGGAAGACCGGCAGCCACUGCGGGCUUCCCCUCCAGCAAUUUCCC
Heterocephalus glaber (naked mole-rat) is the source of this 2095-nucleotide long non-coding RNA. NCBI's taxonomy places the organism in Eukaryota, Metazoa, Chordata, Mammalia, Rodentia, Bathyergidae. The record is from Ensembl.